Molecule: ribosomal RNA, 507 nt
Filed under: uncultured bacterium
Lineage: Bacteria
Description: bacterial SSU rRNA
Rfam family: Bacterial small subunit ribosomal RNA
Source: RNAcentral
GGCUCAGGAUGAACGCUAGCUACAGGCUUAACACAUGCAAGUCGAGGGGCAGCAUUGGGAUAGCUUGCUAUUCAGAUGGCGACCGGCGCACGGGUGAGUAACGCGUAUCCAACCUUCCUGCCAGUAGGGAACAGCCCGGCGAAAGUCGGAUUAAUGCCCUAUGUUCUUCAAUGCGGACAUCUAAGUUGAAGGAAAGAUUCAUCGCUGGCAGAUGGGGAUGCGUCCGAUUAGCUUGCCGGCGGGUAACGGCCCACCGGGGCGACGAUCGGUAGGGGUUCUGAGAGGAAGGUCCCCCACACUGGUACUGAGACACGGACCAGACUCCUACGGGAGGCAGCAGUGAGGAAUAUUGGUCAAUGGGCGUAAGCCUGAACCAGCCAAGUAGCGUGCAAGGAUGACGGCCCUACGGGUUGUAAACUGCUUUUAUGCGGGGAUAAAGUGCGGCACGUGUGCCGCUUUGCAGGUACCGCAUGAAUAAGGACCGGCUAAUUCCGUGCCAGCCGCCGC